RNAcentral lists this long non-coding RNA (1926 nucleotides) under Homo sapiens (human). Its description in RNAcentral is "HSALNT0281570". Lineage: Eukaryota; Metazoa; Chordata; Mammalia; Primates; Hominidae. The record is from RNAcentral.
AAACUACAGAUGAAAGAACACAGUUGGUGGAAAUUUAUCACCCAGGAGAAAUGUGACAAGGGAGGCUCCCCCUAGCCUAUUUGUGGAUUUGUUUAUACUCCCUCUGGUGGCUGAUUCAGACCUGCAUGUUCUGUCCCUUUGACCUGAGAAGCAACCACACCCUACCUGAUUCCAGAAGCCCUGAGUACUGGGAUUGUGGCCAUGUCCGCAUGAGCAAAGGUGAGAAGACUACAGCUGUCACCGGGAAGAAAGAGCCUGCCUAAAAAUCAGAGGGCAACGAAACUGAAAGGAAAGACACAGAAGUCUAAUGGCAUCAACUGAGUGCCUGGGCCCAGCUAUUCCUGAUGAUUUACUCCUGGAGUUUCCGACUUUAUACACCGACACAUUCUCUUUUUUCUUAAGUUAUUUAGACGCGGUUUUCAAGUCACUUGUGACUUCAAAACUCCUGACUUUUACAAGUUCCUGCUUGCCUCUAGUCCAGCCCCGACAUUGUACUCCUGUCUUCAACUGUGUGUACCCUAAGUCCUUGCCUUAAUUUUCUACCUAUUUCUCUUGUGCUUCCAAGUCUGUAGCCUUAUCUUUAGGGCCAGCCUAUCCCUUCCCUCUUUCUAGAAAUCAAAUAGGAGGCAACAGCACCUUUCAGAAAACAAGAAUGGAAUCUCAAAGUCCCAACCUCUUUAUACUUUUCCCAUGAUCAGUCUGCAACAUUAAGACAAGGGAAAGUUUGAGCAAGGCAAAUGGCAUGAUCUGGACGUGGCAGGAAAAAAAUGGGACAGACUCCGUUCCAGUGCUUUGAAAAUCUGUUGGUUGUAAGAUCUGGAGAAGGAACUCAAGUUCCAAUAAAUGUCACUGAACAAAUUGUACGAUGUAUGGAGCUGCCUAAUGUUUCAUCUGUUUGGAUGAAAUGGUUGUCUUUAAAUAAGCUAGGUGCAAAGUUUCUAAUAACCACUGUUUUUCAGCAUGUCUCAGAGCUCAUGUUGUUAAUCAAGCAAGGUUAGCUUAUUUUUAUUGAGUAAAGGAUGUGUUAAGAAAGGAAUGGUUUUGCAUUUUAAGCAAAAUGGAUGAAUAAUGAAUGAAUUUUAAGUAAAUAAAUAAAACCUUUAAGUGACUGUUUCUCUUUCAGAGAAGUCAUUGAUGGAAGCUAUGUACUGAUUAUGAUGAUGCUGUCAUUACUCUCAACAUUCCUUCAAUUCCUACUGUGAAAGGCAACCCUCUUUAGGUUGUACAAAUUCUAGUUUGGUGGCUAAUUAAGCCAUGAUACUAGUUUGAGAUUUUUUAAAAUCUUCAUUCUCAUCUCUCCCUCUCCUAGUGUUUGAGGACUGAUCAUUCCUGAUCUUAGUAACAGAGUAAUUCAUGUUGGCAGGUGUCAUUUAAGCCCUCGUAGCUUGUAACUUCCUGACACAAUUUGGAGUUAGCCCAUUCUGGCAUUCUCCUGCUGGAUAUCACCUACAUUCUUAAAUCUUAAUGAUGUAAAAUUAUUCUACAUUUUUAAUGAUCCGUUGGAGCUGUUUCCUCCAAACCAUUAGCAAUACAAGAGGUAUAUAGGAAUUUGACUUAUUUACAAACUCUGUACUAUUCUUUCUAAACAGUUUCCAAGGAAUACAAAUGCACUACAUAUUGGUUACUAAAAACUGUUUGGGAAUUGGAUUCUUUAAAUAUUAUGAAGAAAUAGCUGAUUUUCUGCAAGUUUGACUUUUUCUCAAAAUGAAAGCAUGUGCACACACACACAGAGGUGCAAAAGCUCCCCAUCAGACAGAUGCAAGGCACCACUCCAUUAAGGCAGGCAGUGACUUGCUAAUGAUCUAUAUCAGCCCUCACCUAUAUGGUACCUACUAGCCACAUUUGUGACUAUCUAAAUUUAAGCUUACAUGAAUUCAAAUUGAAUACAAUUGAAAAUUCACUUCCUCAGCCUCACUAGGCACAUUU